AGUGAACGUUGGCGGCGUGGAUUAGGCAUGCAAGUCGAGCGAUCGUAGCAAUACGGGAGCGGCAAACGGGGUAGGAAUACAUCGGAACGUACCUUUUGGUUGAGAAUAGCGUUGGGAAACUGACGGUAAUACUCAAUAAAGUCGAGAGACCAAAGGUUUACUGCCGGAAGAGCGGCCGAUGCGAUAUUAGGUAGUUGGUGGGGUAAUGGCCUACCAAGCCUGAGAUGUCUAGGGGGUGUGAGAGCAUGGCCCCCACCACUGGGACUGAGAUACUGCCCAGACACCUACGGGUGGCUGCAGUCGAGGAUCUUCGUCAAUGGGCGAAAGCCUGAACGAGCGACGCCGCGUGCGGGAUGAAGGCCCUUGGGUGUAAACCGCUGUCAGGGGGGAUGAAACCGUAAGGUUGACAGAGCCCCAGAGGAAGCACGGGCUAAGUUCGUGCCAGCAGCCGCGGU
Molecule: ribosomal RNA, 455 nt
Filed under: uncultured bacterium
Lineage: Bacteria
Description: bacterial SSU rRNA
Rfam family: Bacterial small subunit ribosomal RNA
Source: RNAcentral